RNAcentral lists this long non-coding RNA (652 nucleotides) under Sus scrofa (pig). RNAcentral's name for it is "lncRNA (ENSSSCG00015070963.1)". Lineage: Eukaryota; Metazoa; Chordata; Mammalia; Artiodactyla; Suidae. The record is from RNAcentral.
GAGAGUGCAUGUCCAUCAAGGUCACGCUUGAGACUAGCAGAGGCGAAACCAGCGGGAAGACGACUUCGCCACCAAGGGCGGGCGGGCCUGCUGGGAUACUCCGGGUGAGUGGGACGCACUGGGCGGGGUUUCGCCGUUCCGAGGAUGUCGGGGAAGGGGGGUCACUGCCAGAUGGAGGUUCCGGUUCCGGUGCAGUGUCUGGCUGGUUGCGUUGCUACGGCAGCGCGGUUGAGCGCUCUCGUCUGUGUGAUCGGGGCUUCGCUGACUUUCCGGCCUACUUAAGCCCCUGGGCCUGGGCCCAGGAAGGGUUUGUUGAACCAGGAGCUAAGAAGGGAAUUGGCUCGUUCGACAGACGUUUUCUGCGCAGCUGUGGCGUGCAAGGCACGGGGCCGGUGCGGGACCUCCAGAGAGACCUGUGCCCAAAGCUUGAGAAAUGAGAAGCAGAUUCCUGGAUUCCAGGUAAAUCAGAGGAACAAACCUGAACAGAAAUAUACAGGAAGUGAUGUGAUGCUGAAGCUUAACGCUUAUUUCAGAAGUCUGGUAUCUGGUGCUCUUAACAGCAAAAACUAUAUUAUUUGCAAAAUCACCACGCUUUUACUUGUAUUAUAUAGUAAUUUUUAAAAAAAUAAAUAUUGACAAUUUGUUCUUGAAA